RNAcentral lists this ribosomal RNA (541 nucleotides) under Vishniacozyma victoriae. RNAcentral describes it as "partial large subunit ribosomal RNA". It matches the Rfam family "Eukaryotic large subunit ribosomal RNA", at positions 93 to 624 of the family's 3401-position model. Lineage: Eukaryota; Fungi; Basidiomycota; Tremellomycetes; Tremellales; Bulleribasidiaceae. The record is from RNAcentral.
GUGAACCGGGAUGAGCUCAAAUUUAAAAUCUGGCGUCUUUCAGGCGUCCGAGUUGUAAUCUAUAGAGGCGUUUUCCGCGCCGGACCGCGUCCAAGUCUCUUGGAAUAGAGUAUCAAAGAGGGUGACAAUCCCGUACUUGACGCGACAACCGGUGCUCUGUGAUACGUUCUCAAUGAGUCGAGUUGUUUGGGAAUGCAGCUCUAAAUGGGUGGUAAAUUCCAUCUAAGGCUAAAUAUUGGCGAGAGACCGAUAGCGAACAAGUACCGUGAGGGAAAGAUGAAAAGCACUUUGGAAAGAGAGUUAAACAGCACGUGAAAUUGUUAAAAGGGAAACGAUUGAAGUCAGUCGUGUGAAAGGUAUUCAGCCGUCUCUGGCGGUGUAUUUGCCUUUCACGGGUCAACAUCAGUUUGAUCCGGUAGAAAAAGGCAGGAGGAAGGUGGCACCCUCGGGUGUGUUAUAGCCUCUUGUCAUAUGUGCCGGACCAGACUGAGGAACGCAGCUUGCCGCAAGGCCGGGGUUCGCCCACGUACAAGCUUAGGAU